This 301-nucleotide ribosomal RNA is filed under the name uncultured bacterium. RNAcentral's name for it is "partial 16S ribosomal RNA". It matches the Rfam family "Bacterial small subunit ribosomal RNA", at positions 509 to 809 of the family's 1533-position model. The record is from RNAcentral.
CAGUCGCCGCGGUAAUACGUAGGGUGCGAGCGUUAAUCGGAAUUACUGGGCGUAAAGCGUGCGCAGGCGGUUGUGUAAGACAGGUGUGAAAUCCCCGGGCUUAACCUGGGAACUGCGCUUGUGACUGCACAGCUAGAGUAUGGCAGAGGGGGGUGGAAUUCCACGUGUAGCAGUGAAAUGCGUAGAGAUGUGGAGGAACACCGAUGGCGAAGGCAGCCCCCUGGGCCAAUACUGACGCUCAUGCACGAAAGCGUGGGGAGCAAACAGGAUUAGAUACCCGCGUAGUCCCUGUCUUUAUACA